RNAcentral lists this ribosomal RNA (888 nucleotides) under Verrucomicrobia bacterium SCGC AAA007-C23. RNAcentral describes it as "SSU rRNA". It matches the Rfam family "Bacterial small subunit ribosomal RNA", at positions 33 to 889 of the family's 1533-position model. Lineage: Bacteria; Pseudomonadati; Verrucomicrobiota. The record is from RNAcentral.
ACGCUGGCGGCGUGGAUAAGACAUGCAAGUCGUGCGACAGACCAGGAAUUGAUUACUUCGGUUUGAUUUUCCUGACGAUGAGCGGCGAACGGGUGCGUAACACGUGAGAAACCUGCCCUUAAGUUCGGGAUAGCCCUACGAAAGUAGGAUUAAUACCGAAUGUGGCCAAGGAAGGGCAUCUUCCCUUGGCUAAAGCUCGGUUAUAGAGCGCUUUUGGAUGGUCUCGCGGUCUAUCAGCUUGUUGGUGAGGUAACGGCUCACCAAGGCUCUGACGGAUAGCUGGUCUGAGAGGAUGAUCAGUCACACUGGAACUGAGACACGGUCCAGACACCUACGGGUGGCAGCAGUCGAGAAUCAUUCACAAUGGGCGCAAGCCUGAUGGUGCGACGCCGCGUGGGGGAUGAAGGGCUUCGGUUCGUAAACCCCUGUCAUCUGUGAGUAAGGCUCCCAAUAAAAGCUUGGGAGAUUGAUAUUAGCAGAAGAGGAAGGGACGGCUAACUCAGUGCCAGCAGCCGCGGUAAUACUGAGGUCCCAAGCGUUGUUCGGAUUUACUGGGCGUAAAGGGUGCGUAGGCGGCUAGAAAAGUUUGGUGUGAAAUCUCCGGGCUCAACCCGGAAACUGCAUUGAAAACUAGAUAGCUAGAGGAUCGGAGAGGAGAUUGGAAUUCUCGGUGUAGCAGUGAAAUGCGUAGAUAUCGAGAGGAACACCAGUUGCGAAGGCGGAUCUCUGGACGGUUCCUGACGCUGAGGCACGAAAGCUGGGGUAGCGAAGAGGAUUAGAUACCCUCGUAGUCCCAGCCGUAAACGGUGCGCACUUGCUGUGGGCGGAUUCGACCCCGUCCGUGGCGAAGCUAACGCGUUAAGUGCGCCGCCUGGGGAGUACGGUCGC